AAGACCUGCAGAAUAUGUAAAAGUGCUGAGCUCCAUGGGCGUGAAAAAAAGAACAUGACUGCAGAAAGGAAGGAAGCUCAAAAUCAAUGGAACAAUCAAUGGCCGUAAGAAUCCUCAAAGGUAUUGAAAACAAAGGACACAAGCGAAAACUUUAGCUCUGGAUGAUGAUACCAGUACCAUACCUAAAGUGAAAAUGGAAGUAAAUGCUGACAAAUAGAUAUGUAGUGACAAGAAUCAUUCAUUCAAGAACGUUACAAAUAAUCUGCAUGCCUAACAAAAAGAAAAUAUAAGAGGAUACUGAGUGCGUCACAUAAAAAAGGCUUGGCAUAUGCUAUGUCAUCUCACAAGGAAGAUCCUGUGUCUCUGAAAGAGAAUCUACUAGCUAUUCCACACCAGCUGUAUGGCAAUUGUUCUUCAUGUCGGGCCAAAUGGUGUUGAUAUCUACAAAAUGAGGAAACGUGCACACCGAAACGUCUCUCCUACGGGUAAUAUCUCACCGACUCUAAUCUGUUUUAAGAUCUUCUGCAACUCUUUACGUCGUAUGCUAAUAAGUCAGAGAAACUUUCUUUUCUUGAAAGCACUCAACAUGAAGAGAACUUCAAUCAUGUUAUUUCCAGGAAAAAUCCCAAAAACAAUUUCUGCUCUGGAUCUGAGAGUAUCAGUGUUAGAGUUGCCGCAGCAGUGUGCGAGAAGAAUAUUGAAGCUCCAUAUGUACUUCAGAGCUAGCUUUGGCCUCUGGAUCAUGCACUGUCAAAGAUGCUGAAAGAAUGAAGAAAUUAAAAAUGAAUUUGGAUCAGAUAUAAGAGUAGAAUUGAAGAAAAAGUCAUCAUCUGCAACAACUUUAUAUGAAAUAAGAGAGGGCGUAACACAUGAGAGCACAGUUCUUUCGCAGACUGGUGGUAUCCCUAAUGACAGACUCGAGACUGUACCAUUCCGUCCAGAACAACUUCACCAAGUUGCAUUGCCUCCUGAUGAAUACAUUAGAGUCUACUUUGAUCUAGAGACAACUGGCUUAGAUUCAUCAUGUGAAAUAACACAAAUGCGUGCAAGGUGUGGAGAUUCUUCUUUCUGUCGGUAUGUAUUACCAUCAAUUGCCAUACAGGAGACAGCUUCAAGGAUAAGGGGACUUACAUGUGAUGAUUCAACUUUAAAAAAAAAACUGCUCUAUACUGGAGUGUUUGACAUCAUUUCAUGAAUGGCUAAAUAAUACACCGAAUAUACAUAAACCAACACUAUUUGCUCAUAACUGCAGAAAAUUCGAUAGUGUUGUUCUAGGCAGAUCAAUGAGAAAAUGCUCUGAUAUGACAUUGCAAGACUGCAUUGUUGGAUUCUGUGAUACCCUGUCUAUGUUGAAGAAUCAUGCGUCUUGUAAUACCACAAAUUCAACUCUAGCGACCCUUGUGCUGGAAAUUCUAGGCUGUACAUUCGAGGCACACGAUGUACUUGAAGACAGACUGUACAUAUCUACAGAAACUUGUGGAACAUCACAGUACAUAUUCCUAUUAUUUAAACUAUACUUUCAGUAUGGAUUAUAUGAUGCAAGUUGUACUCCAAAUGGAAGACUCUAAAUCUAACUUGCAAACUUUUAUGCCCUUGUAAACAAAAAACAGUGCCUGAGAGCAUGAUGAAAAGGAUGUCUCUCUCUGGGCUUUCAAUGCAUCAUCUACAGUUAGCGUACCAACGAGGAGGCUUUGAUGGAGUACAACGUGUACUGAAUGAAAAAAAAAACCCAGAGGUAACCAAACACAGGGACAUUAACAUUUCUGUUGUUGACUUAUUGAAAGAAAGAUAACAAUUUCUCAUACAUAAUGUAAAGAUAUUUUCUUUUAUUUCAAUAAUUUUAAUACUGGAUACAGCACAUUUUAAUUUAUUUAUUUUACAUAUAUAUAUAUCUAUUGAAUGUUUUCAUGUGCAGGAAUCAAGUGUUAUCAUACUCUCCUUAAUACAAAUUAGCAAAACCUUGAAGUCACUUCUCUUUCCUUAUAUAAAUCUUUAUGGGUGAUAAUGCAUUAUCUUUGAAAGACGCAUGGAAACAUUGCAUAAAAAUGUUUGAUUUAUUAUAAUAAUCAUUAGUAUGAGACAGUAAAAUGUCAUUUGCUUUAAAAUUUACACUUUCAAUUUUGGUACCUGAGGAUCGG
Molecule: long non-coding RNA, 2138 nt
Organism: Magallana angulata
Lineage: Eukaryota; Metazoa; Mollusca; Bivalvia; Ostreida; Ostreidae
Exons: 3
Source: RefSeq, a predicted model, not a curated record